GUAAGGUUGGUUGUAGUGGUCGAAUAUUGGACUAGGACCCCAUGGGACCAGGGUUCGAAUCCCUGCUCAGAUG
Phrynosoma platyrhinos (Desert horned lizard) is the source of this 73-nucleotide non-coding RNA. The record is from the annotation of a GenBank genome assembly. NCBI's taxonomy places the organism in Eukaryota, Metazoa, Chordata, Lepidosauria, Squamata, Phrynosomatidae.